This 460-nucleotide ribosomal RNA is filed under the name uncultured bacterium. Its description in RNAcentral is "partial 16S ribosomal RNA". It matches the Rfam family "Bacterial small subunit ribosomal RNA", at positions 338 to 795 of the family's 1533-position model. The record is from RNAcentral.
CCUACGGGAGACAGCAGUGAGGAAUAUUGGUCAAUGGACGAGAGUCUGAACCAGCCAAGUAGCGUGAAGGAUGACUGCCCUAUGGGUUGUAAACUUCUUUUAUAUGGGAAUAAAAUGUUCCACGUGUGGGAUUUUGUAUGUACCAUAUGAAUACGGAUCGGCUAACUCCGUGCCAGCAGCCGCGGUAAUACGGAGGAUCCGAGCGUUAUCCGGAUUUAUUGGGUUUAAAGGGAGCGUAGGUGGAUUGUUAAGUCAGUUGUGAAAGUUUGCGGCGCAACCGUAAAAUUGCAGUUGAAACUGGCAGUCUUGAGUACAGUAGAGGUGGGCGGAAUUCGUGGUGUAGCGGUGAAAUGCUUAGAUAUCACGAAGAACUCCGAUUGCGAAGGCAGUUCACUGGACUGCAACUGACACUGAGGCUCGAAAGUGUGGGUAUCAAACAGGAUUAGAUACCCCGGUAGUC